This 253-nucleotide ribosomal RNA is filed under the name uncultured bacterium. Its description in RNAcentral is "partial 16S ribosomal RNA". It matches the Rfam family "Bacterial small subunit ribosomal RNA", at positions 524 to 776 of the family's 1533-position model. The record is from RNAcentral.
UACGUAGGGGGCUAGCGUUGUCCGGAAUCAUUGGGCGUAAAGAGCGUGUAGGCGGCCCGGUAAGUCCGCUGUGAAAGUCGGGGGCUCAACCCUCGAAUGCCGGUGGAUACUGUCGGGCUAGAGUGCGGAAGAGGCGAGUGGAAUUCCUGGUGUAGCGGUGAAAUGCGCAGAUAUCAGGAGGAACACCAACGGCGAAGGCAGCUCGCUGGGACGGUACUGACGCUGAGGCGCGAAAGCGUGGGGAGCGAACAGG